UACGGAGGAUGCGAGCGUUAUCCGGAUUUAUUGGGUUUAAAGGGUGCGCAGGCGGCGUGUCAAGUCAGCGGUAAAAUGUCGGGGCUCAACCCCGGCCGGCCGUUGAAACUGGCGUGCUCGAGUUGGAGAGAAGUAUGCGGAAUUCGUGGUGUAGCGGUGAAAUGCAUAGAUAUCACGAAGAACCCCGAUUGCGAAGGCAGCAUACCGGCUCCACACUGACGUUGAGGCACGAAAGCGUGGGUAUCGAACAGG
Molecule: ribosomal RNA, 252 nt
Filed under: uncultured bacterium
Lineage: Bacteria
Description: partial 16S ribosomal RNA
Rfam family: Bacterial small subunit ribosomal RNA
Source: RNAcentral